Drosophila ficusphila is the source of this 446-nucleotide long non-coding RNA. RefSeq lists it as uncharacterized. NCBI's taxonomy places the organism in Eukaryota, Metazoa, Arthropoda, Insecta, Diptera, Drosophilidae. The record is from RefSeq and is a predicted model, not a curated record. The transcript has 2 exons.
AAGCAUUAAACCAUAAGGUUUUAUUAAUGUGUAAAUUAAUCUAGAACAAAUACCAUUAGCGAAAGGUAUUAUAAAACUGUUAGUCAAAUAUAUUUUUCCGGUAGUAACUCGUUUGACUUGCAGUUGUCAUCAAUACUUGGAAAGUAAAAUGAAUAUAAAGUUAAUUAUUAUCUUCUUUAUAAUGUUUUUCUUAAAUUCUUGUCUCGGAUGGCAGAGAAGUCGCAAAUGCUUGGAGCCGGUUCUUAGAGGACCUUGCACUGGCCGUGAUGAAAGAUACUAUUUCGAUUACAAAAGCAAAAAGUGUAAAACUUUCUCUUACAGUGGAUGUGGAAGCAACGCAAACAAUUUUAAAGACGUUAAAGAUUGUAUAAAAACAUGUAUCAAAGGGUAGAUAAAAUCUCUAUAAAAUUUAAAUAAUAUUUACAAAAUAUACUUCCAAAUAAAAA